This is a long non-coding RNA of Mus musculus (house mouse), 2988 nucleotides long. RefSeq annotates it as predicted gene, 31679. NCBI's taxonomy places the organism in Eukaryota, Metazoa, Chordata, Mammalia, Rodentia, Muridae. The record is from RefSeq and is marked validated. The transcript has a single exon.
UGGAAAUGUAGAGGACAACUGUAAACAAACAAUAGCAUUACUAAGACUUUAACUUUGUGGAAAUCCAAAUAAACAUCCAGGCUCUUUAUGAAGUCUGCAGCCCUUCUCACGCGUACCUGUUUCCCCAAGGAUGAAACUAAUAUCAUCAGGUUGUUUAUCUAUGUGUGCACAAAAAAUGAUGAGCUCCAGGCAUUUAUCUAUGUGUACACAAAAAAUGAUGAGCUCCAGGCAUUUAUCUAUGUGUGCACAAAAAAUGAUGAGCUCCAGGCAUUUAUCUAUGUGUGCACAAAAAAUGAUGAGCUCCAGGCAUUUAUCUAUGUGUGCACAAAAAAUGAUGAGCUCCAGGCAUUUAUCUAUGUGUGCACAAAAAAUGAUGAGCUCCAGGCAUUUAUCUAUGUGUGCACAAAAAAUGAUGAGCUCCAGGCAUUUAUCUAUGUGUGCACAAAAAAUGAUGAGCUCCAGGCAUUUAUCUAUGUGUGCACAAAAAAUGAUGAGCUCCAGGCAUUUAUCUAUGUGUGCACAAAAAAUGAUGAGCUCCAGGCAUUUAUCUAUGUGUGCACAAAAAAUGAUGAGCUCCAGGCAUUUAUCUAUGUGUGCACAAAAAAUGAUGAGCUCCAGGCAUUUAUCUAUGUGUGCACAAAAAAUGAUGAGCUCCAGGCAUUUAUCUAUGUGUGCACAAAAAAUGAUGAGCUCCAGGCAUUUAUCUAUGUGUGCACAAAAAAUGAUGAGCUCCAGGCAUUUAUCUAUGUGUGCACAAAAAAUGAUGAGCUCCAGGCAUUUAUCUAUGUGUGCACAAAAAAUGAUGAGCUCCAGGCAUUUAUCUAUGUGUGCACAAAAAAUGAUGAGCUCCAGGCAUUUAUCUAUGUGUGCACAAAAAAUGAUGAGCUCCAGGCAUUUAUCUAUGUGUGCACAAAAAAUGAUGAGCUCCAGGCAUUUAUCUAUGUGUGCACAAAAAAUGAUGAGCUCCAGGCAUUUAUCUAUGUGUGCACAAAAAAUGAUGAGCUCCAGGCAUUUAUCUAUGUGUGCACAAAAAAUGAUGAGCUCCAGGCAUUUAAUCGGAAUGAGACGCCUGAAACUUGUCUUCUUGAAACGCAUAGAAACUGCCAAGCAAACUCUUUGCCUAGGUGUCUGCAGGACAGCUGUGGAAGUAGUCUAGCUGUUAUUCCAGAAUUAUUACUGUGGGGUCAAUGGACAGAGUCUAAGCGGGCAAUUGAAACCAGUAAUUUGGGGCCUUAAAGGCUGGUGCAGAAUGGUCAAGCAGAAAGCUGCUUCCUUGAUUGAAAAGGGGCAGGGAGAGAAUGUUCCCGGACAGGUGUACUGGAACUGUAGUCGCAAAAGGGAAAGGCAGAGGCACUCACAGGGUGUCUGGGGCCCGUGGGGACUGAGGGAAGAGAGAAUGGGUGAUUGCCAGAGAACCUCCAUCUGUGUCUCCUGCUUUGUAACCAGGUCUGCUGUAAAGGGGAGCAGACACUGCCUAAGGCACUUGACUUGAGGAAAGCUCUUCUUGGUGAAGUGUUUUAAAGCUUCAAGGAAUGACCCAAAGACAGAAACACACUGUGUCUGAUUAAUGAAGCUACGAGCUCAGGAUCUGUAAUUUUAAUGAACACACAGCAACAGUAAGAACAAAUAGGAACAUGGAAUUGAAAAAGUCACAGAGAUCUGAAUAACUCACACAGAAGGCUAUUCAAAGAUUAAAUGAUUUAAAAAAAUACACCUGUAUAAAAAUAAACACUUUCCCCCAUAGUGCAUUUGAGACCACAGAAAUGUCACUGUCUCUACCCCACAUCUUUAAAUUUAUCUUCUCAGGUCAUAACAGUAAGUCUUCCCAAAGCAGACCUUCCAAAAAGACAGGCUGUUUCCUCAGCUGUAACUUCCUGCUUCUUUGUGACAUGAACCAACAAUCUAUCUAAGAGGCUUGUGUGUGUGUGUGUACACAUUUGCACACACAUACAUACAUACACGCAUACAUAUACACAUACACACAUACAUACAUACAUACAUACAUACACACAUAUAUACAUCAUACAUAUUGGGAAGUUAGAAGGAGGUAUUCUACCAGCAAGCCCAUAGUUGUCACCAGUCAUAAGAUUAGCUAUAGGUACAAAGGGAUAUGUCAACAUUACUGGCUGUAUUAGUCAGGGUUCUCUAGAGUCACAGAACUUAUGGAUAGUCUCUAGAUAGUAAAGGAAUUUAUUGAUGACUUACAGUCGGCAGCCCAAUUCCCAACAAUUGUUCAGUCGCAGCUGUGAAUGGAAGUCCAAGGAUCUAGCAGUUACUCAGUCUCACGCAGCAAGCAGGCGAAGGAGCAGGAGCAAGAGCUGGACUCCCUUCUUCCAAUGUCCUUAUAUUGUCUCCAGCAGAAGGUGUAGCCCAGAUUAAAGGUGUGUUCCUUAAACUCGGAGAUUCAAUCUUCUGGAAUCCAUAGCCACUAUGGCUCAAGAUCUCCAAACCAAGAUCCAGAUAAGGAUCUCCAAGCCUCCAGAUAAGGGUCACUGGUGAGCCUUCCAAUUCCGGAUUGUAGUUCAUUCCAAAUAUUGUCAAGUUGACAACCAGGAAUAGCCACUACACUGGCCAAAAAAAAAAAAAAAAAAAAUCCGGUGACAGCUUGUGAGUAAGUUCAUCUUGCUUACGAUGGAGACCCCACUGUAGGUAUUGACAAGGUAAGCUAAAUAGUCACAGCGCCUCAAACCUCAUGCACCCUAGUUGUUGAGGAGUUAAACCAUGGUGGAAGGAGAGAACCGACUCCUACAUGGCGUCCUCCACUUUAAGAGUGAUUGAUGAUAUAAGAAUGUUCCAAAAAUAACUUUAAAGCCAUUCAGCAAUGGUUUCCUCUCUGUGCACAGAGGAGUGGACUCGGUAGGACUGGGGAUGGGGUGCACACAAAGAGAACAUGAGGCAAUAUAUUAAAAUUUAGUAACUUGAGUAUACAAGAAUUCCUUUUUUGUUUUUACAACUAUUCUAUAAAUUUAGCAUUGUUUCAAGAGAAAA